RNAcentral lists this ribosomal RNA (194 nucleotides) under uncultured bacterium. RNAcentral's name for it is "partial 16S ribosomal RNA". It matches the Rfam family "Bacterial small subunit ribosomal RNA", at positions 338 to 524 of the family's 1533-position model. The record is from RNAcentral.
CCUACGGGAGGCAGCAGUGGGGAAUUUUGGACAAUGGGGGCAACCCUGAUCCAGCCAUUCCGCGUGAGUGAAGAAGGCCUUCGGGUUGUAAAGCUCUUUCAGCAGGAACGAAACGGUGGCCAAUAAUACUGGCUACUAAUGACGGUACCUGAAGAAGAAGCACCGGCUAACUACGUGCCAGCAGCCGCGGUAAU